Molecule: ribosomal RNA, 465 nt
Filed under: uncultured bacterium
Lineage: Bacteria
Description: partial 16S ribosomal RNA
Rfam family: Bacterial small subunit ribosomal RNA
Source: RNAcentral
CUACGGGUUGCAGCAGUGGGGAAUAUUGGACAAUGGGGGAAACCCUGAUCCAGCAAUGCCGCGUGUGUGAAGAAGGCCUGCGGGUUGUAAAGCACUUUCGGUUGGGAGGACUGCUUCUAGCACUAAUAUUGUUGGAAGUUGACGUUACCUUCAGAAGAAGCACCGGCUAACUCCGUGCCAGCAGCCGCGGAAAUACGGAGGGUGCAAGCGUUAAUCGGAAUUACUGGGCGUAAAGCGCGCGUAGGCGGCUAGAUCAGUCGGGUGUGAAAGCCCCGGGCUUAACCUGGGAACUGCAUCCGAUACUGUCUAGCUUGAGUACAGGAGAGGAGAGUGGAAUUCCACAUGUAGCGGUGAUAUGCGUAGAUAUGUGGAGGAACACCAAUGGCGAAGGCAGCUCUCUGGCCUGAUACUGACGCUGAGGUGCGAAAGCGUGGGGAGCAAACAGGAUUAGAUACCCUUGUAGUC